This 206-nucleotide unclassified non-coding RNA is filed under the name Hevea brasiliensis (rubber tree). Lineage: Eukaryota; Viridiplantae; Streptophyta; Magnoliopsida; Malpighiales; Euphorbiaceae. The record is from RNAcentral.
GGGGUGUCCUCCACGCACAAGGUUCUUUGCUUUAGGAGGGCCGAGGGAAGAUCAUCAAGCAUAUGCAGCCUACCUGCCAAUUUUUGCAGAGGCUGUUUCCAUGGAUCAAAUGCAUGACGGCAUGACCUUUUGGUCACAACGGAGUAAAGAGAAUUGGGGGGAGGGGGUAAUAACCAAUGAUACCUUGUUUCCCAAAAUGCUGGAAU